UUCUCUGUGGCUCAGUUGGUUGAGCAUUGUGCUACUAAUGUAAAGGUUUUGGGUUCAAAUCCCAGAAAUGUCA
This is a non-coding RNA of Danionella cerebrum, 73 nucleotides long. The record is from the annotation of a GenBank genome assembly. NCBI's taxonomy places the organism in Eukaryota, Metazoa, Chordata, Actinopteri, Cypriniformes, Danionidae.